GACGUAGGGGGCAAGCGUUGUCCGGAUUCAUUGGGCGUAAAGAGCUCGUAGGCGGCUUGGCAAGUCAGAUGUGAAACCCUCAGGCUUAACCUGGGGCCGCCAUCUGAUACUGCUAUGGCUAGAGUCCGGUAGGGGAUCGUGGAAUUCCUGGAGUAGCGGUGAAAUGCACAGAGCUCAGGAGGAACACCAGUGGCGAAGGCGGCGAUCUGGGCCGGUACUGACGAUGAGGAGCGAAAGAGUGGGGAGCAAACCGG
RNAcentral lists this ribosomal RNA (254 nucleotides) under uncultured bacterium. Its description in RNAcentral is "partial 16S ribosomal RNA". It matches the Rfam family "Bacterial small subunit ribosomal RNA", at positions 524 to 776 of the family's 1533-position model. The record is from RNAcentral.